UACAGAGGUCUCAAGCGUUGUUCGGAUUCAUUGGGCGGAAAGGGUGCGUAGGCGGCGCGGUAAGUCGGGUGUGAAAUCUCGGAGCUUAACUCCGAAACUGCAUUCGAUACUGCCGUGCUUGAGGACUGGAGAGGAGACUGGAAUUUACGGUGUAGCGGUGAAAUGCGUAGAUAUCGUAAGGAAGACCAGUGGCGAAGGCGGGUCUCUGGACAGUUCCUGACGCUGAGGCACGAAGGUCAGGGGAGCAAACGGG
This 253-nucleotide ribosomal RNA is filed under the name uncultured bacterium. RNAcentral's name for it is "partial 16S ribosomal RNA". It matches the Rfam family "Bacterial small subunit ribosomal RNA", at positions 524 to 776 of the family's 1533-position model. The record is from RNAcentral.